UGAGGUGCUUAUUUCAAGCUCACUCACUAUCAGUGAAGUGCAGAUCAUCUGCAUGAACGGGAAAGCCAAGUACAAGGCCAGUGAAAAUACAAUCAUUUAGAAGAUUAAAUGAAUGGCAGUAAUGAAGGAAUCACAGGUCAGUGCUGAGACCAAGCUUCUACGCACUAAUGAUGAGAAGAAAUGAGCAUGUCCAACUAUCUCCAUGAACUUUGAUGUCACACUCGUUCCACCAGGACUGAAGUUCAAUAAUUAAUGACUAGCUUGUGCCAUGGAGACUCAGCAUCAACCACACAAGGUAUCGUUUGCAGAGGAUAUAAUCAUUUAUGUGCAUUGGACAAUGGAAAAUCAGGCCCAUGUUGUACGUGUAUUUCCACACUACUGCAGUGGAGGGCACCGACUAAUGUUUAAAGGUCAAAAAGAUACUGGACACAGCAUACACUGGUUUGGAAGCAGUGCUUGUUUUUUCAAUUACUAUGCUGGUACUGCUGAGCCUCCAUGAUACGCUGUGACAACAGCUCUCAUAAGGUUAUGAAAUGGCAGAUUGUGCUGAAAAGUCAGGAAAUGAAGCCGGAGCUGAUGCACUCAAAAGGUUAGAUAUAAAACAUGGAUUUUACGGAAGUCUGCCGGAUUCAAUCCAGCUUGGAAUGGACUCAUGCAGUACUGAUCAUGUUUUUUGCGUAGCUGGCAUCUAAAGGCUGAAAGAAAGAAAUAAUUACACUUGCUUAUUGUGUACUAUACAUUAUGAGAAAAAAAUCAGAAAACUGUAAACAACUGACAUGAC
This is a long non-coding RNA of Rhincodon typus (whale shark), 781 nucleotides long. RefSeq lists it as uncharacterized. Lineage: Eukaryota; Metazoa; Chordata; Chondrichthyes; Orectolobiformes; Rhincodontidae. The record is from RefSeq and is a predicted model, not a curated record. The transcript is spliced from 3 exons.